Molecule: ribosomal RNA, 468 nt
Filed under: uncultured bacterium
Lineage: Bacteria
Description: partial 16S ribosomal RNA
Rfam family: Bacterial small subunit ribosomal RNA
Source: RNAcentral
GACGAACGCUGGCGGCGUGCUUAACACAUGCCAGUCGAACGGAAAGGCCCUGCUUUUGUGGGGUGCUCGAGUGGCGAACGGGUGAGUAACACGUGAGUAACCUGCCCUUGACUUUGGGAUAACUUCAGGAAACUGGGGCUAAUACCGGAUAGGAGCUCCUGCUGCAUGGUGGGGGUUGGAAAGUUUCGGCGGUUGGGGAUGGACUCGCGGCUUAUCAGCUUGUUGGUGGGGUAGUGGCUUACCAAGGCUUUGACGGGUAGCCGGCCUGAGAGGGUGACCGGCCACAUUGGGACUGAGAUACGGCCCAGACUCCUACGGGAGGCAGCAGUGGGGAAUAUUGCACAAUGGGCGGAAGCCUGAUGCAGCAACGCCGCGUGCGGGUUGACGGCCUUCGGGUUGUAAACCGCUUUCGCCUGUGACGAAGCGUGAGUGACGGUAAUGGGUAAAGAAGCACCGGCUAACUACGUG